GGGAUGUGGUGAGGGCGCAGACGCAUCUUCCAGAGCCGACCUUCCCCCGCGCCCUCCAAAGCUAGGGGUCACGCUGUGUCCCCAGUCCCUUCUGCGUUUAUCCCGUCGGUGGUGUAGGGCAGGGAUCCCGCACCUUUCGAGGUCACUUGGCUUCCGUGAGAAGCUGAUGACGGCUCGGCCCCUCCCAGAGAACCGCUCAUGCUCGCCGCUUUGCCACAUUUUCAAGGCUGCUCUGGUGAGAACCCCUCGGUGACCUCAGGCUUACCUUGAACGGCUUCCGGAAGCUUUAACACCUGAUUAUUAAAGUCGAAGUGGCAAGGAACUCAUCUGUCAGUUUUCUCUCAUGGAAGUGUCUUACGAAACCAUUUUAUAAACCAUAUGCUUGAAAAAGGUCAGAAAACGCAGGUCCCCAAAUGCAGUGCGUGUUCGGUUGUUCAGCAUGUUGCCCUCGGGUUAUUUCACCCCAAGCCCAUCUCUGCAAACUGACCUCCAAGGGCCGGACAGACCCGGACACCCUCCAGCCUUGAGGCAGUCUGCCUGGGAAAUUUCUGAGAAGGGCUCCUUCCAUCCAAACCGUGAAAAUGUGGCGUCUUGGCUUUACGCUUCCACUUGUACCCACCUACAUACGUUUCCUCCUGCUUCAAACUCUGGCCCAGGAUAAUGGAUUACAUGAGGCACCUGUUUUGAGAUGUUCCCGUCAUUCCGUCAACUCCCGUGAUGGAGGCAUAUGGGGAAUAGGCGUGCUGCUGGGGGUAACACAUGCGGAGGCCUGGAUCCGAGAGUCAGUUCAAAAGGACUCCCCCCGUGGUGGACACUCUGUGGGUCUGGAAAAAUAUCCCAGUUGAGAGAAGCCUCCCUCUCUUCUUACUUUGCCGAGAGUUUUCUUUUUUAAUUGAAGUACAGUUGAUGCACAAUAUUAUAUAAGUUAUAGGUGUAAAAUACGGUGAUUCAUGACUUUAAAGGUUGUGGUCUGUAUUCCAACUAUUGUAAUUAUAAAAUUUUGGAGUUGCCAUUGUGGCGCAGUGGAAAUGAAUCAGACUAGGAUCCAUGGGGUUGGCGGCUCCAUCCCUGGCCUCAGUGGGUUAAGCAUCUGGCGUUGCCGUGAGCUGUGGUGCAGGUCACAGAUGCGGCUCAGAUCUGGCGUUGCUGUGGCUGUGGUCUAGGCUGGCAGCUGUAGCUCCGAUUAGAUCCCUAGCCUGGGAACCUCCAUAUGCCGCGGGUGUGGCCCUAAAAAAACAAAAUAUAUAUAUUUAUAUAUAUAUAUAAACAUUGGUAUAUUCCCUGUGCUGUAGCGUGUGUCCUUGUAGCUUAUUUUGCUCAGAGUUUUUAUCAUGCAUGAGCAUUGCAUUUUGUCAAAUGCCUUUUUUUGUUUUUUUUUUUUGUUUUUUUUGGCUGUGCCAGCAGCAUGUGGAAGUUCCUGGGCCAGGAAUCAAACCCACACCACAGCAGCAACCUGAGCCGCAGCAGUGAUCAUGCUGGAUCCUUAAGCACUAGGUCACCAGGGAACUGCUCUGAUUUACUCGUGGACAGCUGAACUUCUCAGAAAUCAGUACUGACACUGGCUCUGGAGUGUCAUCGGUGUGUCACAGCGCUCGGAACUCCAUGAAGGGGAUCUGACCCCGAGCCUCUCACCCUGACCCCGGGUGCCUGAAACCAGGUUCUCGGGAGCUCCCUGGGGCAGGACAGCAGGGCCACCGCCUGCCACGCCCCUCCUGCCCAC
This 1720-nucleotide long non-coding RNA is filed under the name Sus scrofa (pig). RNAcentral describes it as "lncRNA (ENSSSCG00035067132.1)". The record is from RNAcentral. Lineage: Eukaryota; Metazoa; Chordata; Mammalia; Artiodactyla; Suidae.